This 287-nucleotide ribosomal RNA is filed under the name uncultured bacterium. RNAcentral describes it as "partial 16S ribosomal RNA". It matches the Rfam family "Bacterial small subunit ribosomal RNA", at positions 491 to 777 of the family's 1533-position model. The record is from RNAcentral.
CUCCGGCUAACUUCGUGCCAGCAGCCGCGGUAAUACGAAGGGGGCUAGCGUUGCUCGGAAUUACUGGGCGUAAAGGGCGCGUAGGCGGAUACUUAAGUCGGGGGUGAAAGCCCAGGGCUCAACCCUGGAAUUGCCUUCGAUACUGGGUAUCUUGAGUACGGGAGAGGUGUGUGGAACUCCGAGUGUAGAGGUGAAAUUCGUAGAUAUUCGGAAGAACACCAGUGGCGAAGGCGACACACUGGCCCGUUACUGACGCUGAGGCGCGAAAGCGUGGGGAGCAAACAGGA